CUGUCACAGCCCUGUGCCCGGCCCCCAGGUGGCUGACAGUGAGGCCCACACCUGCGAGAGGCGUCUUUUAAGGAUCUGCAGCUGGGGAGAUGACACACACAGAUGAGGGUGACUCACUCCUCUGCAUGGGCCGCCAGCACCUCACACUCACCCUCCCAAGGAGGCUGGGCCACGGAAACCAGAGCAGCAGUCUUCCAGUCCCAUCAGCUUGGCUCGUUCAGCGCCAUCUGGAAGUGGGAAAGCCCAUCCCUCCCCGCUGAGCGUUUUCAGGAGCUAAGUGGUGACCGCUGCCAUUAGGUAGUGGUCUUGAGACAGGGAGCCUUGGGGACCCAAGCAGGGCAGGAGGAUGUGACACGUGGCUGGCAGGGAAGCGGGGCAUGAUGGGAGCUUGGGCUGCGCCUGACCGGGAUACGGGACCGGGCCCAUCCCAGGUGGGCUGCGAUUCCCACGGGGGUCAGCCUCUGAACGCCCGUGUGGGGUAGCUGGACAGAGGGGGCGCUAUCCGUGGUUCUGAACCCACCCUCCUGCUGGCCUUGGCCAAGCCUUGGAGGUUUCCUUAUUCCCUCUCUCUGCUUUGAUGCUGAAUGUCCUGGAUCAGUGAACAGGCAGCUCACAAGAUGCUCCGAGGCUUGGACUCCAGAGUCAGGCCCUGGAUGCCAUGCCCAGCUCUGCCACCUGCCAUCUGCACGGUGUUGGGCAAUUUUUAGUCACUGCCCAGUGACUCAGUUUCCUCGUCAAUAAAACGAAUGUAGACACACACCUUCCUAACAGGCUUGUGAGAAAUGUGGUCAAGUAGGUUUCCUAAUGACAAGUUAAUACUCAUAAAGUCUUAGAACUAUGUUUAGCACAAGUAAAUGGAGCCCUCUGCCUGUGUCCACAUCCUUUAACACGACCUCAGGAGUCUCUUGACAGUUUUCUCGAUUUCUUUCUUUCUCCUUUCCUCUCUCUCUUCCUUCCUGCCUCCUCCCCCGGCCCCACUUUACUUUGCUUUUCUAAGACAGGGUCUCACUAUGUAGUCUAGGCUGGCCUUGAACUCACUAUGUAGCCCAUGCUUGGCCUACAAUUCUCUAUCCUCCUGCCUCAGCCUCCUGAGUGCUGGGAUUACAGGCAGGCACCACCCCUGGUAGUUUUCUUGAUCUCUCAAUGGCAACACACCUCAGGUUAAUCUUGUACAUUUUCCACAUGGAACUGGCCAU
Molecule: long non-coding RNA, 1196 nt
Organism: Heterocephalus glaber (naked mole-rat)
Lineage: Eukaryota; Metazoa; Chordata; Mammalia; Rodentia; Bathyergidae
Source: Ensembl